UACGUAGGGGGCAAGCGUUGUCCGGAUUUAUUGGGCGUAAAGAGCGUGUAGGCGGCUUUACAGGUCCGUUGUGAAAACUCGAGGCUCAACCUCGAGACGCCGGUGGAAACCGUAAAGCUAGAGUCCGGAAGAGGAGAGUGGAAUUCCUGGUGUAGCGGUGAAAUGCGCAGAUAUCAGGAGGAACACCGGUGGCGAAGGCGGGUCUCUGGGCCGAAACUGACGCUGAGGAGCGAAAGCGUGGGGAGCAAACAGG
This 253-nucleotide ribosomal RNA is filed under the name uncultured bacterium. RNAcentral describes it as "partial 16S ribosomal RNA". It matches the Rfam family "Bacterial small subunit ribosomal RNA", at positions 524 to 776 of the family's 1533-position model. The record is from RNAcentral.